CCAAUUAUUCCAUUAUAGGUUCUUGUAUCUAUAAUUCAUUAAUGAAAUUAGUUACCUAUUUCAACUAAUUCAUUAAGCCAGGCCUCACUGAGCCACUUCUGGUUACUGUGCUAGGGCCAGAGAUAUAGAGAUCUAUGAGAGGUACCGUUUCUGGAGAUCAGAGUCUAAUGGUAGAGCAGCCAUGUAGGCAGAUAAUUAUUGUAUAAUGUGCAAAGUCCUUGCAAGAAAUAAAAGCAGAAUUGGAACUGUGGAGGAGGGCCGGGCCAAUUGCCCAGGAUAUCAGAAAAGGAUUUGCAGAGGACAGGGUAUUUUGAUCUUAAAAAAACAGGUAAUUUGGCUGGGUUAAUGGACCACCUAGGAAGACUAUGGCACAUCCAAAGAGGCCCCUGGCAUUAAGCUCUCGGGGCAGGAGAUGAGCCUGGCCUGAAAACAACUAUCGAAGCAUUUGGAAGAGAAAGUGGAAAGUACUUUGAUGGAAUGAGUCUACAGAUGAUAAAAAUUGGGGAGCCAUUAUGUUGCAGAUAGCUCUGUGAUCAGUAUUCUGUGAGCUGUCUUGACAUCACUGCGGAACUGAUGAAGUGAGUUCUUUCCUCCACCCCCUUCUGGCCACUGGA
This is a long non-coding RNA of Manis pentadactyla (Chinese pangolin), 614 nucleotides long. RefSeq lists it as uncharacterized. The transcript is spliced from 3 exons. NCBI's taxonomy places the organism in Eukaryota, Metazoa, Chordata, Mammalia, Pholidota, Manidae. The record is from RefSeq and is a predicted model, not a curated record.